CAGUCGCCGCGGGAAUACGAAGGGUGCAAGCGUUAAUCGGAAUUACUGGGCGUAAAGCGUGCGUAGGUGGUGGUUUAAGUCCGUUGUGAAAGCCCUGGGCUCAACCUGGGAAUUGCAGUGGAUACUGGGUCACUAGAGUGUGGUAGAGGAUAGUGGAAUUUCCGGUGUAGCAGUGAAAUGCGUAGAGAUCGGAAGGAACAUCUGUGGCGAAGGCGACUAUCUGGGCCAACACUGACACUGAGGCGCGAAAGCGUGGGGGGCAAACAGGAUUAGAUACCCCGGUAGUCCCUGUCUCUUAUAC
Molecule: ribosomal RNA, 301 nt
Filed under: uncultured bacterium
Lineage: Bacteria
Description: partial 16S ribosomal RNA
Rfam family: Bacterial small subunit ribosomal RNA
Source: RNAcentral